RNAcentral lists this ribosomal RNA (305 nucleotides) under uncultured bacterium. RNAcentral describes it as "bacterial SSU rRNA". It matches the Rfam family "Bacterial small subunit ribosomal RNA", at positions 334 to 638 of the family's 1533-position model. The record is from RNAcentral.
UUUCCCUACGGGACGCAGCAGUGAGGAAUAUUGGUCAAUGGGCGAGAGCCUGAACCAGCCAAGUCGCGUGAGGGAGUACUGCCCUAUGGGUUGUAAACCUCUUUUGUCGGGGAGCAAAAGCCGGACGUGUCCGGCUGUGAGAGUACCCGAAGAAAAAGCAUCGGCUAACUCCGUGCCAGCAGCCGCGGUAAUACGGAGGAUGCGAGCGUUCUCCGGAUUUAUUGGGUUUAAAGGGUGCGUAGGCGGAAUGCCAAGUCAGCGGUAAAAUCGCGGGGCUCAACCUCGCUCCGCCGUUGAAACUGGCG